Molecule: ribosomal RNA, 1285 nt
Filed under: Klebsiella pneumoniae
Lineage: Bacteria; Pseudomonadati; Pseudomonadota; Gammaproteobacteria; Enterobacterales; Enterobacteriaceae
Description: bacterial SSU rRNA
Rfam family: Bacterial small subunit ribosomal RNA
Source: RNAcentral
UCACCUAGGCGACGAUCCCUAGCUGGUCUGAGAGGAUGACCAGCCACACUGGAACUGAGACACGGUCCAGACUCCUACGGGAGGCAGCAGUGGGGAAUAUUGCACAAUGGGCGCAAGCCUGAUGCAGCCAUGCCGCGUGUGUGAAGAAGGCCUUCGGGUUGUAAAGCACUUUCAGCGGGGAGGAAGGCGGUGAGGUUAAUAACCUCAUCGAUUGACGUUACCCGCAGAAGAAGCACCGGCUAACUCCGUGCCAGCAGCCGCGGUAAUACGGAGGGUGCAAGCGUUAAUCGGAAUUACUGGGCGUAAAGCGCACGCAGGCGGUCUGUCAAGUCGGAUGUGAAAUCCCCGGGCUCAACCUGGGAACUGCAUUCGAAACUGGCAGGCUAGAGUCUUGUAGAGGGGGGUAGAAUUCUAGGUGUAGCGGUGAAAUGCGUAGAGAUCUGGAGGAAUACCGGUGGCGAAGGCGGCCCCCUGGACAAAGACUGACGCUCAGGUGCGAAAGCGUGGGGAGCAAACAGGAUUAGAUACCCUGGUAGUCCACGCCGUAAACGAUGUCGAUUUGGAGGUUGUGCCCUUGAGGCGUGGCUUCCGGAGCUAACGCGUUAAAUCGACCGCCUGGGGAGUACGGCCGCAAGGUUAAAACUCAAAUGAAUUGACGGGGGCCCGCACAAGCGGUGGAGCAUGUGGUUUAAUUCGAUGCAACGCGAAGAACCUUACCUGGUCUUGACAUCCACAGAACUUUCCAGAGAUGGAUUGGUGCCUUCGGGAACUGUGAGACAGGUGCUGCAUGGCUGUCGUCAGCUCGUGUUGUGAAAUGUUGGGUUAAGUCCCGCAACGAGCGCAACCCUUAUCCUUUGUUGCCAGCGGUCCGGCCGGGAACUCAACGGAGACUGCCAGUGAUAAACUGGAGGAAGGUGGGGAUGACGUCAAGUCAUCAUGGCCCUUACGACCAGGGCUACACACGUGCUACAAUGGCAUAUACAAAGAGAAGCGACCUCGCGAGAGCAAGCGGACCUCAUAAAGUAUGUCGUAGUCCGGAUUGGAGUCUGCAACUCGACUCCAUGAAGUCGGAAUCGCUAGUAAUCGUAGAUCAGAAUGCUACGGUGAAUACGUUCCCGGGCCUUGUACACACCGCCCGUCACACCAUGGGAGUGGGUUGCAAAAGAAGUAGGUAGCUUAACCUUCGGGAGGGCGCUUACCACUUUGUGAUUCAUGACUGGGGUGAAGUCGUAACAAGGUAACCGUAGGGGAACCUGCGGUUGGAUCACCUCCUUACCUUAAAGAA